Molecule: transfer RNA, 66 nt
Filed under: Gibbium aequinoctiale
Lineage: Eukaryota; Metazoa; Arthropoda; Insecta; Coleoptera; Ptinidae
Description: tRNA-Arg
Source: RNAcentral
AAAUAAGAAGCAACUAAUUGCAGCUAAUUUCGACCUAGCCCUAGAUUUAUUAAAAAUCCUUAUUUA